Molecule: long non-coding RNA, 4314 nt
Filed under: Sus scrofa (pig)
Lineage: Eukaryota; Metazoa; Chordata; Mammalia; Artiodactyla; Suidae
Description: lncRNA (ENSSSCG00040024511.1)
Source: RNAcentral
GGGGCGGCGCCCGGCUUCCGGGUAGUGGCAGGUGAGGCCGCGUGGGGCCAGCGGCGGCUCCUUGCUGGUCUGUGGCUCUGGGCCCAAGACCCGAGCCUCCUACAGGGGCGGCCCCCUGCCUGAGGCGCGGGUGGGUUCCGACCUCCGAGAGCCGGUCUGGAAGCACUGAGGGGCCCCUACUUUUGCCCCCGAAGUCAGCGGGGCAACAGCCGCUCCCUUGCAGGAGCCGGGCCGUGGGCGGAGGGCCCCGGUGGGUGAGAUCGGUGACCCCCGAAAACUCCGACCAAAGAGCUGCAGCAAGAAAGGAGUUGGUUCCCACAAACCGCCCAGAGUCAAGUUCUGGAGGCUGAGAAGUUCAAGAUCAAGGUGCUGGCAGAUUUGACGUCUGGAAGAUAUGCUCCAUCGAAACAUGGAAAUGAAGUAAGAAAGAGCAAGACCUAGAUCCAAGAAACAUAGAGCCGACGAGUCUCCAGGAUGCAUUAAAUGGAGACUCAAGUUGUGAGCAGUACCUGAAAGGAAGCAACAUGUCCAGAAUGGAACAGAUCGCAAAGUUCCAGGAAGGAUUUCUUCAGGAAAAUUAAAUUGAUAGAAUACUUAAUUUGAAUCUCUUGAGGAAACUUGCACACAUUGGGAAGAAUUUGGAUUAAAUUAGCAACAAGUCCAUAAAAAUGGCUUAUUAGAAAGAACUUGUACUCAUCAAAAGCAAGUGAAAAAAGUGAAGCUCUUGAGGAAAUAUUUGCAAUAUAUACAAAUGACAAAUAAUAUCAAAAAUAUAAAAUGAACUUCUAAAAGUCAAUUAAGAGGACUGCAAAUAACCCAAUUAAAAAUAGGCAGAGGAUAUAAAGAAGCAUUUCACAGAAGGGUAAAUUGCAGAUGACCAAUAAAUACAGAGAGAUGUUCAAAAUUAUGGUGAUCAGGAAAAUACAAAUCAAGAUCACAAUUGGCAAAAUUUAAAAGACUUAUAAUAGCAAAUAUCAGAUAAGAUAUAGAUUCACAAAAUCUUCUAUGUAUUGCUAGUAAGAUUAAAAAAGAAAAAUGUGUUGGCACUACCUUGCAAAGCGGAAGAAAAACAUACUGAAGAAUGACCCAGCAAUUUCCUUUUAGAAGGAAAAAGAAAGUUUUAAAUAUAUAUAAUAAGAGAAAUGUAUAAGAAGUUUCACCACAGCAUUGUUCAGGAAGAACCUGAAAAUUACCUCAAAGCCACCCAUCAGUGGGAAAUGGCUGAAUAAACUGUGAUUGUUUAAGCACUUAAAAAAAUAAAUAAAUAUAUAGAUGAAUCAGAGUGAUUCUAUCAUAACUAGAAAAAGUAAAUCUCAAAUAUUACAUACAGUCUCAUGUAUUUAUACAAAAUUUUAUUUAUUUUAUUUAUUUUUUUUUUAGGGCCACAUCCAUGGAAUAUGGUGAUUCCUAGACUAGGGGUCGAAUCAGAGCUGUAGGCACUGGUCUACGUCACAGCAACACAGGAUCCAAACCACAUCUGUGACCUACACCACAGCUCACAGCAACACUGGAUCCUUAACCCACUGAGCAAGGGCAGGGAUUGAACCCACGUCCUUAUGGAUACUAGUCAUAUUCGUUUACCACUGAGCCACGACAGGAAUUCCUAUAUAAAAUUUUAAAAUAUUUUAAUCCUCCAGCUUUCUGUUCACUUAUUAGUCGUAUAUUCUUUUACUUAUUGUGGUUAUCCUAGAGAUUGUAACUUGUAUCAAUAUAUAAAGUCUAAUAUAAAUUAGCACUUUUAUCUCUUCCUGGACAAUUUAAAGACUUUUGAAAAAUCCUGUUUACCAUUCUUACAGUUUUCUAUUGUUGUCAUAUAUUUUAAUUAUCUCUAUAUUUUAAUCUCCACAAUACAUUUUGACAGUUGUUUUCUGCAAUCAGUUUUGACCUGGUUUACUCACGUAUUUAUCUGUUUUUUUGCUCUUCAUUCCUCUACAUUUCUAAAUUUCCACUGCAAUAAUUUUCCUUCUGCUUAAUGAACAUCAGCUAAUCUCAUUUUUUUCUCCAAGAAUCUGUUUAUCUUACUUCCUUUUUUAAAUAAUGCUUUUUCUGGGAAUAGAAUUCUAGGCUGGGAUUUUUUUUNUUUUUUUUUUUUUUUUUUUUUUUUUUUUUUUUUUUUUUUUUUUUUUUUUUUUUUUUUUUUUUUGUGCUGUGAAAAUAUUGUUUCAUUGUCUUCCAGCUUCCACUGCUUUUGUUAACUGGAUGUUCCUUUGAAGACAAUCUGUCAUUUUUCUCUUUCUCUUUGUCCUUGUAUUUAGUACUUAUAUUGAUAUGCCUAGGCCUGUAUGUGUGUGAAUUUUAUCUUGUAUGUAAUUUAUAAUAUGACUGAAUCUGUAGCUUGGCAUAUUUCAUCAUUUUUAGAAAAAAAUUAAAGCAUUAUUUCUUCAAAUAUUACUUCUGUCCAAUUUUCCUUCUUCGCCCCAUGUCUUCUGUAUUUCUUGCAGAAAGAACAAGCUACAAGAAAGAACAGAAAAAAAAUAUAUUCUUUUUUACUCUUUUUCUUUAUUGCUUCCUUUAGGAUGUUUUUAUCUGAUCUGUCUUCCAAUUCACUAAUUCUCUUUUCAACUAUUUUUAUUCUAUUGUUAGAUCUAUUCAUUGGGGUUUUCAUAAAAGUUACUGUUUUCACUUUUCAGAAUUUUUCUAUUCUUUCUUAUAGCUUCCAGUUCUUUAUUAGAAUUCUGUCUUGAGAAUUUUUUUUGAACAUAUGAAGUGUAAUAAUUUAAAGUCUAUCUUUGAUAAUUCUAUCAUUUUGAUCUCUAUUUUCACUUUUUCUUGUUUUUCAUCAUGUUUUCAUAUGAUUGGUUAUCUUUUUUUUCAGGGGCACACCCACAGCAUAUGAAAGUUCCCAGACUAGAGGUCAAAUCAGAGCUGCAGCUCACAGCAACACUGGAUCCUUAACACGCUGAAUAGGGCCAGGGAUCAAACCCACAUCUUCAUGGACACUAGUCAGGUUUGUUACCGCAGAGCCACAGUGGGAAUACCUGCUUGGUUAUCUUUUAUUGAAUGCCAGGCAUUUUUAUGUGAAAGCUUGUGCGGAUACUUUGAGGUCUAAAAUGAGGUUGUCCUGCUCCAAUGAAAAUUUGAGUUUCUUUCUAGAAGAUUGCUAAAGGCAUUGGCAAUAUUGGAUUGCCUUAAUCCCUUAGAGGGCUGAGAAAAUUCCAGCUGAGCCUUCAUCUCUGAGGGCUUGUCUAUUUCCAGCUCAUUCUUUACUCCUAGGAUUUAGCAUUUAUGAUCUCAGUCUAAAAAACCUGGAGGAUAUCCUAAACACCCUCCUCAUUGGUGAAGACUGAAGUCCAGUUUGGUCUGUUGGUCUUAUAUGUCUACAAGAAGCUUUGAUCAUCUAUUUAGUCACCUCUUCCAAAAUCAGCAGAUGAAUGAGAGGAAUAUAGCCUCAAAUUCCUUACGUCUCUAGGUUUCUUUCCCUGAUAAUGUUCUCACUAUUUUUUACUGUUUUGUUAUCUCUUUGAUAAUUUCAAGCAGAUUUUUGAAAAUAUUUUUGCUAAGCGUUUCAGCACGUUCUUAGUGAAAAGAUUGGUCCCAAUUAGAAAGUUUGCCAUUAAAUACGGCCCACAGAGAUAAUUUUAAUCUACUACUCUUCUGUAUCCUUUAUGCAGGAAUACAUAUAGAUGCAAUAAAGUUUUAUAAAGGAAUGACAAACAAAAGAUUCAGGACCAUGGUUAACUUAGAUAAAGGGAGGGAGAAAGGUGGAUUGGUUGUGGAUAGGGAGAAAAAAGAAUUAUGUAAGAAAGAAAAUAUAAUCAUAGUUUAUUAUGUGGUGAUAACAUUUAAUAGUGUAAGUACUGAGUAGUGAUCUAACUGAAAUCAUGAUAGGGCCAAAUUUGGGGAUUAAAAGUAUGUAUUUGUGUGGAGACACAGAGAGCAAGAGAUAACUGGAUCCUCAUCUUCUGUAUUGGGAAAUCAAUAGAUAACGCCUAAAAUGGGAACUAAGAAAGUAAACAAGAGAAUAUGCUACAAGAGUUCAAAAUGAUUGCCUGGAGAUGUGUUGUGGGAUUGGGAGUGAGAAAUGAAGUUUAUGGUAUGGUUUUUAAAGCUUCUUGACUCUUUAAACUUUUUAUAAAAAUCUCUAACUUUGGGAGUUCCCCUCAUGGCACAAUGGAAACGAAUCUGACUAGGAACCAUGAGGUACCAGGUUCUAUCCCUGGCCUCGCUCAGUAGGUUAAGGAUCCAGUGUUGCCAUGAGCUGUGGUGUAAGCGAAAGAUGUGGCUCAGAUCUGGCAUUGCUCUGGCUCUGGCAUAGGCCAGCAGCAACAGCUCUGAUUAGACCCUUAGCCUGGGAACCUCCAUAUGCCGCAGGUG